UACGAAGGGGGCUAGCGUUGUUCGGAAUUACUGGGCGUAAAGCGUGCGCAGGCGGCUUCUCAAGUCAGGGGUGAAAGCCCGGAGCUCAACUCCGGAACUGCCAUUGAAACUGUUAGACUUGAGGAUGAGAGAGGUGAGUGGAAUUCCCAGUGUAGAGGUGAAAUUCGUAGAUAUUGGGAAGAACACCGGUGGCGAAGGCGGCUCACUGGCUCAUUUCUGACGCUCAGGCGCGACAGCGUGGGGAUCAAACAGG
RNAcentral lists this ribosomal RNA (253 nucleotides) under uncultured bacterium. RNAcentral's name for it is "partial 16S ribosomal RNA". It matches the Rfam family "Bacterial small subunit ribosomal RNA", at positions 524 to 776 of the family's 1533-position model. The record is from RNAcentral.